This 300-nucleotide long non-coding RNA is filed under the name Elaeis guineensis (African oil palm). RNAcentral's name for it is "long non-coding RNA (EGUI_LNC067552)". The record is from RNAcentral. Lineage: Eukaryota; Viridiplantae; Streptophyta; Magnoliopsida; Arecales; Arecaceae.
UGCCUUGAUCAUAUUAUAAAUCAAACUGAAACCCUUAUAUUUGAUGUUCUUAGUGCCAAUGCAUUUCAUCUUGAAUUAUUCAACUGAAAAGGGGAAAGAAAGUUAGCUAACCAUCUAUAAUAGAUAAAUCCAGAUUUUUGAAGAACAUUUGCUCUUGAGCCCAAAGUGCUUUGAUAUAUUAAUUUUGAAAUAACUAGAUGCUCUGAAUUUGAUAUUUUAUGCUUGUAUCUGAAAUUGGAUUGGUAGAAACAUGAUUUGCUGUAAAUUUCUUGAUGCACUCCUAAUAUUGAAAUGUAACUU